This is a small nucleolar RNA of Labeo rohita (rohu), 135 nucleotides long. RefSeq annotates it as small nucleolar RNA SNORA5. The transcript has a single exon. The record is from RefSeq and is a predicted model, not a curated record. Lineage: Eukaryota; Metazoa; Chordata; Actinopteri; Cypriniformes; Cyprinidae.
UGCAGCCUUGUCAAAUUCAGUGUUUCCUCCUCAGUGGAAUGCACUGGCCAAAAUGGCUGCAACAGUGAAUUUGUAGUCCAUGGUCCCCACGUUCCUGUAAAGUGAAUACUGGGGACAGAAGGGCUAUGUACAGAU